UAUAUAGGACUGGGAUACACCGAGAAAAUAUGCAUUAUUGAAACCUGGAUAUGUAUUUGUGCCAGCGUACAGUAUCGCCAGUUUUCCUGUCUUCUGACUUGAGAUAUACCUAAGCAAUGUAGUUUAUUUUUGAGACUGCAUUUGCUAAUCCCAACGAAAGCAUAAGAAGCUAAGUCAUGCAACUAUGAAGUGGCUCUCAAUCUCGUGGAUGACAUGAACAGCCUGUUCCAAAUUCAGCCUCAUCCCACCUUUUAGCAAGCCAGAGAUCAGUAGUCUCCCUAGUUUUUUAUUUGACGCUGUUAACUGUUUGGUCGUUGACAGCCGAUCUGCAUUCCAUUAAGAACAAAAAGCCCAGUGGGCACUUACAACUACAUAAGCGCUUGGCUGUACCGCUGUAGCCUGGUGAGUCCCUUUUAUACUAUUACAUAAAAGUAGAGAUAAUAGUAAGAUCAUAGUCCUAAUUAAUAUUUUAUGAUAAACAAUUAGCUUACGGAUUUAUUUAUUAAUGGAAUUUGGUUUGAAAAAAUUAAGCUGUUAGUGUGAGUGUAUGUGACUAGUGUGAGUGAUGUUGCGAUAUCUGUGCUUGGAAAUGGUUAGUUUAUUUCCGUGUGUGCAUGUGACUUGGAUGUCAAUAUCGAUCAACGGCGGCAAGAUCAUGACUAGGCUUAGGGAGAAGAUAAUGUCUAGAUGAUCGAUGAUGAUAGUUGAUGAUAUUGAAUAUAAGGUGACACAUGGUGGAGGAACACCGUAUAGAGAUGGAUUUGUAACGGGCUUCAUAUAUUAUGUUUGCAAGCGUCUGAAAAAAUUAUGAGGAAAAUUGGAGAUGGAUCGAUGAAGAAAUAAAAAAACAAAAACGUGCUACAGUACACGUGCUACAGAUAUUAGAUUGAUGUAUUAAGAAUUGAUAUAUUUUGAUCCUAAGACAUAUGUGUUGCAAG
RNAcentral lists this long non-coding RNA (938 nucleotides) under Oryza brachyantha (malo sina). Its description in RNAcentral is "long non-coding RNA (OBRA_LNC002454)". The record is from RNAcentral. Lineage: Eukaryota; Viridiplantae; Streptophyta; Magnoliopsida; Poales; Poaceae.